GCUGGGCUUAGUGGCUCACUCCUGUAAUCCCAGCAACUUGGGAGGCUGAGGCAGGAGGAUCAUAAGUUCAAGCUCAGCCUUAACAAUUUAGUGAGGCCCUAAGCAACUUAGUGAGACCCUGUCUCAA
This 127-nucleotide small RNA is filed under the name Marmota monax (woodchuck). Lineage: Eukaryota; Metazoa; Chordata; Mammalia; Rodentia; Sciuridae. The record is from RNAcentral.